CCUACGGGAGGCAGCAGUGAGGAAUAUUGGUCAAUGGGAGGAAUCCUGAACCAGCCAUGCCGCGUGCAGGACGACGGCUCUACGAGUUGUAAACUGCUUUUGUACCGGGGUAAAAUGCCUUACGUGUAGGGUUUUGAAAGUACGGUACGAAUCAGGAUCGGCUAACUCCGUGCAAGCAGCCGCGGUAAUACGGAGGAUCCGAGGGUUAUUCGGAUUCAUGGGGGUUAAGGGGUGCGUAGGUUGUUUUAUAAGUUAGCGGUGAAAUACCGAUGCUCAACAUCGGGGCUGCCGCUAAUACUGUAGGACUAGAGAUCAGAUGCAGCAGGCGGAAUGUGUAGUGUAGCGGUGAAAUGCAUAGAUAUUACACAGAACACCGAUUGCGAAGGCAGCUUGCUAGGCCGGAUCUGACACUGAUGCACGAAAGCGUGGGGAUCGAACAGGAUUAGAUACCCGGGUAGUC
This 460-nucleotide ribosomal RNA is filed under the name uncultured bacterium. Its description in RNAcentral is "partial 16S ribosomal RNA". It matches the Rfam family "Bacterial small subunit ribosomal RNA", at positions 338 to 795 of the family's 1533-position model. The record is from RNAcentral.